This 125-nucleotide small RNA is filed under the name Mixta gaviniae. Its description in RNAcentral is "RtT sRNA". It matches the Rfam family "RtT RNA". From Rfam's summary of the family: This family represents a bacterial cis-regulatory element known as RtT RNA. The exact function of RtT is unknown although it is thought that it may be involved in changing the cellular response in relation to amino acid starvation. Lineage: Bacteria; Pseudomonadati; Pseudomonadota; Gammaproteobacteria; Enterobacterales; Erwiniaceae. The record is from RNAcentral.
UUGCUAUGUAAAAUCGGCAGGAUGAGAACCUGCAGCAGGUUCGGGUCGAGCUGUGCGAGACAACGUUGCCGCAGGCAACGGCCCGAAGGGCGAGGCGAAGCCGAGUCAUCCUGCACGACCCACCC